Molecule: ribosomal RNA, 162 nt
Filed under: Ottoa oenanthoides
Lineage: Eukaryota; Viridiplantae; Streptophyta; Magnoliopsida; Apiales; Apiaceae
Description: 5.8S ribosomal RNA
Rfam family: 5.8S ribosomal RNA
About the family: 5.8S ribosomal RNA (5.8S rRNA) is a component of the large subunit of the eukaryotic ribosome. It is transcribed by RNA polymerase I as part of the 45S precursor that also contains 18S and 28S rRNA. Functionally, it is thought that 5.8S rRNA may be involved in ribosome translocation.
Source: RNAcentral
AACGACUCUCGACAACGGAUAUCUUGGCUCUCGCAUCGAUGAAGAACGUAGCGAAAUGCGAUACUUGGUGUGAAUUGCAGAAUCCCGUGAACCAUUGAGUCUUUGAACGCAAGUUGCGCCCGAAGCCACUAGGCCGAAGGCACGCCUGCUUGGGUGUCACGC